RNAcentral lists this transfer RNA (65 nucleotides) under Dendostrea sandvichensis. RNAcentral describes it as "tRNA-Phe". The record is from RNAcentral. Lineage: Eukaryota; Metazoa; Mollusca; Bivalvia; Ostreida; Ostreidae.
GGUUGAGUAGCCUAAAAAAGGUGUGACAUUGAAGCUGUUAAGAUGGUGUUCUACGCCCCUGCCCA